CUACACGGGUUUCUAAUCCUGUUUGCUCCCCACGCUUUCGUGUCUCAGCGUCAGUACUCGUCCAGUUGGCCGCCUUCGCCACCGGUGUUCCUCUCGAUAUCUACGAAUUUCACCUCUACACCGAGAAUUCCACCAACCUCUCCGGUACUCUAGCUAAGCAGUAUCGAGUGCACUUCCUGGGUUGAGCCCAGGGCUUUCACAUCCGACUUACCUAGCCGCCUACACACGCUUUACGCCCAGUAAUUCCGAACAACGUUUGCACCCUCUGUCUUACCGCGGCUGCUGGCAC
RNAcentral lists this ribosomal RNA (289 nucleotides) under uncultured Myxococcales bacterium. Its description in RNAcentral is "partial 16S ribosomal RNA". The record is from RNAcentral. Lineage: Bacteria; Pseudomonadati; Myxococcota; Myxococcia; Myxococcales.